AUGCCGACAUAUCGUACUCUAUGUCGUGCACUAAUAUUUGCAUGGACCAAACCCUUGCGGAAAGCAACCUUUCCAUUGAAGAUUAAAAUUUUCGUAUGGCAGCUUCUCCAUGAUCGCCACCCAUUGGGGAGGGAGGUGAUCAGGCGACAUGGGGCUGGCGAUGGGCUUCGCCCUCUUUGUGAUGUCCUAGAGUCUGGGACCCACAUCUUCUUCGCCUGCACUGUUGCCCGCUUUCUUUGGAGCUUUGUCCGUGAGGUUUUGGCGUCGGAUGUUGGCUCUGAACAUGGCUGA
RNAcentral lists this ribosomal RNA (291 nucleotides) under Triticum aestivum (bread wheat). RNAcentral describes it as "partial small subunit ribosomal RNA". The record is from RNAcentral. Lineage: Eukaryota; Viridiplantae; Streptophyta; Magnoliopsida; Poales; Poaceae.